Long non-coding RNA from Gopherus evgoodei (Goodes thornscrub tortoise), 1027 nucleotides. RefSeq lists it as uncharacterized. The transcript is spliced from 3 exons. NCBI's taxonomy places the organism in Eukaryota, Metazoa, Chordata, Testudines, Testudinidae. The record is from RefSeq and is a predicted model, not a curated record.
AGGAAAGAGAGAUCCUGAGAGUUCCCUGCACAGCAGGUGAUGCAAUGAUAUGUGAGAAAGAGGAGCAGAAUUCUCAGCAGGAAAAUGUUGACCAAGUGGCUAAACACAGAGAAUUAUUGCAAAGAACGAAAAGGAAUGUGUCCAGGAGUCAUGAGCAGGGAAAAUGCUGUGAGAUUCAGCACAGACCAGAAAGAGAGCAAGGAAACCAUCCAGGAACCAUAGCAGUGAGAUAUCUACUGGAAGCUUGUAGAUUAUUGUUACCCCUGAUCACUGCAAGAGGUAUGUCUGAGUCCUAUUGAAGGAGUCAUGUAAAUAUAUGGAAAAUUAUUCCCAUAUGGUAUUGUCAUGAAAGUGAGUCCAAAGUUCUUGUUGGGAAUGGCCCAUUCAAGUGGGAGGGAAUUGUCACCUGUCCAUUGCUAGCCAGUUAUGAGAUGUGUUGCUGCAUUGUCAACUUUUGCACCAGCCCAGAAAAGGCAAUGGAAAACUAUCAAAGACAAAUUAUAGACAUCGAAACUCUGUGGAAGUGUAAAUGACAAUAUGACAAUGAGGAAAUGGUCCUUUCUGUGAAUAUACACAAAAGACUGAUUCAUUCUAUAACAGGGUGGAGCGAAACACUCUGGGUCCAUUCACCAAGGAGAUCACUAAUGACCAGUGGUGCUUGAAGAAAGGCAGGCCCCUGGCUCCUAGGGACUAGCAAUCACUGCAAUAGACUGUCACCUCAGACUUCAGUCUACUUAGGUAGGAAAGGUAACUAUUAAAAAGUGUAGGUUGCAUUUUGUGAUUUUGUUUUGUUGGUAACAGUUGGUUUCCAUCAUUCACAUUUGUUUGUUUAUAUCUUUAUCCCUUGUUAAGGAAAUUUCCCUUUGUUCAAUAACUGUGCUCAAGUGCUAUGUGUGAUCCAGUAGCAGUGGGCUACAGUAAAACUGGUAACCUGGGAUGUACCAUUGCUUUGGGCAGAGAGGAUCUGGGAUUUUUCUGAGCCCUGGUCUACUCUAGGGGAGGGAAUCAGUCUAAGUUAUGCAACUUC